AACGGAUUAAGAGCUUGCUCUUAAGAAGUUAGCGGCGGACGGGUGAGUAACACGUGGGUAACCUGCCCAUAAGACUGGGAUAACUCCGGGAAACCGGGGCUAAUACCGGAUAACAUCUUGCACCGCAUGGUGCAAGAUUGAAAGGCGGCUUCGGCUGUCACUUAUGGAUGGACCCGCGUCGCAUUAGCUAGUUGGUGAGGUAACGGCUCACCAAGGCGACGAUGCGUAGCCGACCUGAGAGGGUGAUCGGCCACACUGGGACUGAGACACGGCCCAGACUCCUACGGGAGGCAGCAGUAGGGAAUCUUCCGCAAUGGACGAAAGUCUGACGGAGCAACGCCGCGUGAGCGAUGAAGGCCUUCGGGUCGUAAAGCUCUGUUGUUAGGGAAGAACAAGUAUGAGUUGAAUAAGCUCAUGCCUUGACGGUACCUAACCAGAAAGCCACGGCUAACUACGUGCCAGCAGCCGCGGUAAUACGUAGGUGGCAAGCGUUAUCCGGAAUUAUUGGGCGUAAAGCGCGCGCAGGCGGUUUCUUAAGUCUGAUGUGAAAGCCCACGGCUCAACCGUGGAGGGUCAUUGGAAACUGGGAGACUUGAGUGCAGAAGAGGAGAGUGGAAUUCCAUGUGUAGCGGUGAAAUGCGUAGAGAUAUGGAGGAACACCAGUGGCGAAGGCGACUCUCUGGUCUGUAACUGACGCUGAGGCGCGAAAGCGUGGGGAGCAAACAGGAUUAGAUACCCUGGUAGUCCACGCCGUAAACGAUGAGUGCUAAGUGUUAGAGGGUUUCCGCCCUUUAGUGCUGAAGUUAACGCAUUAAGCACUCCCCCCGGGGGAGUACCGGCCGCAAGGCUGAAACUCAAAAGGAAUUUGACGGGGGGCCCCGCACAAACCGGGGGGAGCAAGGUGGGUUUAAUUCCAAAGCAACCCCGAAAAAACCUUUACCAAG
RNAcentral lists this ribosomal RNA (944 nucleotides) under Bacillus cytotoxicus. RNAcentral describes it as "bacterial SSU rRNA". It matches the Rfam family "Bacterial small subunit ribosomal RNA", at positions 65 to 978 of the family's 1533-position model. Lineage: Bacteria; Bacillati; Bacillota; Bacilli; Caryophanales; Bacillaceae. The record is from RNAcentral.